GGGAGGGGAGCGAGCGUUGUUCGGAGUUUACUGGGCGUAAAGGGCGUCUAGGCGGGUAUGGAUAGUCGGGAUGUGAAAUCCCUCGGCUUAACCGGGGAACUGCAUUCGAAACUUCCAAACUAGAGUACGGCAGAGGUAAGCGGAAUUCUCAGUGUAGCGGUGGAAUGCGUAGAUAUUGAGAAGAACACCAGUGGCGAAGGCGGCUUACCAGGCUGAUACUGACGCUGAAGCGCGAAAGCCAGGGGAGCGAACGGGAUUAGAUACCCCGGUAGUCCUGGCUGUAAACGAUGUGCACUGGGUGUAGGAGGUAUCGACCCCUUCUGUGCCGAAGUUAACGCAUUAAGUGCACCGCCUGGGGAGUACGGGCGCAAGCCUG
This 376-nucleotide ribosomal RNA is filed under the name uncultured organism. Its description in RNAcentral is "partial 16S ribosomal RNA". It matches the Rfam family "Bacterial small subunit ribosomal RNA", at positions 525 to 896 of the family's 1533-position model. The record is from RNAcentral.